RNAcentral lists this transfer RNA (70 nucleotides) under Lygodactylus bradfieldi. Its description in RNAcentral is "tRNA-Tyr". The record is from RNAcentral. Lineage: Eukaryota; Metazoa; Chordata; Lepidosauria; Squamata; Gekkonidae.
GGUAGUGUGGCCGAGUUAUAGGUGGCGAGUUGUAGCCUCGUCGACUGGGAGUAGCCCACGCUGCCAGGCC